Long non-coding RNA from Fundulus heteroclitus (mummichog), 2270 nucleotides. RefSeq lists it as uncharacterized. The record is from RefSeq and is a predicted model, not a curated record. The transcript has 20 exons. NCBI's taxonomy places the organism in Eukaryota, Metazoa, Chordata, Actinopteri, Cyprinodontiformes, Fundulidae.
AGAGGAACCGUCACUGCGUGGUUAGGGUUAGGUACAGGUGUGUACUUCUAGGUAUACCACAGAAGAUACAGGUGUGUACUUCUAGGUAUACCACAGAAGAUACAGGUUUGUACUUCUAGGUAUACCACAGAAGAUACAGGUACUACAGGAAGACCAUGGAUACUACAGGUGUGUACUUCUAGGUAUACCACAGAAGAUACAGGUACUACAGGAAGACCAUGGAUACUACAGGUGUGUACUUCUAGGUAUACCACAGAAGAUACAGGUGCGUACUUCUAGGUAUACCACAGAAGAUACAGGUGUGUACUUCUAGGUAUACCACAGAAGAUACAGGUACUACAGGAAGACCAUGGAUACUACAGGUGUGUACUUCUAGGUAUACCACAGAAGAUACAGGUGCGUACUUCUAGGUAUACCACAGAAGAUACAGGUGCGUACUUCUAGGUAUACCACAGAAGAUACAGGUGUGUACUUCUAGGUAUACCACAGAAGAUACAGGUGUGUACUUCUAGGUAUACCACAGAAGAUACAGGUGCGUACUUCUAGGUAUACCACAGAAGAUACAGGUGCGUACUUCUAGGUAUACCACAGAAGAUACAGGUGUGUACUUCUAGGUAUACCACAGAAGAUACAGGUGUGUAUUCUAGGUAUACCACAGAAGAUACAGGUGUGUACUUCUAGGUAUACCACAGAAGAUACAGGUGUGUACUUCUAGGUAUACCACAGAAGAUACAGGUACUACAGGAAGACCAUGGAUACUACAGGUGUGUACUUCUAGGUAUACCACAGAAGAUACAGGUGUGUACUUCUAGGUAUACCACAGAAGAUACAGGUGUGUACUUCUAGGUAUAUCACAGAAGAUACAGGUGUGUACUUCUAGGUAUACCACAGAAGAUACAGGUGUGUACUUCUAGGUAUACCACAGAAGAUACAGGUACUACAGGAAGACCAUGGAUACUAGAGGUGUGUACUUCUAGGUAUACCACAGAAGAUACAGGUACUACAGGAAGACCAUGGAUACUACAGGUGCGUACUUCUAGGUAUACCACAGAAGAUACAGGUGUGUACUUCUAGGUAUACCACAGAAGAUACAGGUGCGUACUUCUAGGUAUACCACAGAAGAUACAGGUGUGUACUUCUAGGUAUACCACAGAAGGUACAGGUGUGUACUUCUAGGUAUACCACAGAAGAUACAGGUGUGUACUUCUAGGUAUACCACAGAAGAUACAGGUGUGUACUUCUAGGUAUACCACAGAAGAUACAGGUGUGUACUUCUAGGUAUACCACAGAAGAUACAGGUACUACAGGAAGACCAUGGAUACUAGAGGUGUGUACUUCUAGGUAUACCACAGAAGGUACAGGUGUGUACUUCUAGGUAUACCACAGAAGAUACAGGUGUGUACUUCUAGGUAUACCACAGAAGAUACAGGUACUACAGGAAGACCAUGGAUACUACAGGUGCGUACUUCUAGGUAUACCACAGAAGAUACAGGUGUGUACUUCUAGGUAUACCACAGAAGAUACAGGUGCGUACUUCUAGGUAUACCACAGAAGAUACAGGUGUGUACUUCUAGGUAUACCACAGAAGAUACAGGUACUACAGGAAGACCAUGGAUACUACAGGUGCGUACUUCUAGGUAUACCAGAGAAGAUACAGGUAUUACAGGAAGACCAUGGAUACUACAGGUGCGUACUUCUAGGUAUACCACAGAAGAUACAGGUACUAGAGGAAGACCAUGGAUACUACAGGUGCGUACUUCUAGGUAUACCACAGAAGAUACAGGUGUGUACUUCUAGGUAUACCACAGAAGAUACAGGUGUGUACUUCUAGGUAUACCACAGAAGAUACAGGUGUGUACUUCUAGGUAUACCACAGAAGAUACAGGUGUGUACUUCUAGGUAUACCACAGAAGAUACAGGUGUGUACUUCUAGGUAUACCACAGAAGAUACAGGUACUACAGGAAGACCAUGGAUACUACAGGUGCGUACUUCUAGGUAUACCACAGAAGAUACAGGUGCGUACUUCUAGGUAUACCACAGAAGAUACGGGUACUACAGGAAGACCAUGGAUACUACAGGACCGUACUUCUAGGUAUACCACAGAAGAUACAGGUACUACAGGAAGACCAUUGAUACCACAGGACCGUACUUCUAGGUAUACCACAGAAGAUACAGGUACUACAGGAAGACCAUGGAUACUACAGGUGCGUACUUCUAGGUAUACCACAGAAGAUACAGGUACUACAGGAAGACCAUGGAUACUACAGGA